Molecule: ribosomal RNA, 253 nt
Filed under: uncultured bacterium
Lineage: Bacteria
Description: partial 16S ribosomal RNA
Rfam family: Bacterial small subunit ribosomal RNA
Source: RNAcentral
UACGUAGGGGGCGAGCGUUGUCCGGAGUUACUGGGCGUAAAGCGCUUGUAGGCGGUCCACCAAGUUUGGGGUGACAGUUGCCGACUUAAUCGGCAAAGUGCCUCAAAGACUGGCGGACUUGAGGGCCACAGAGGGACAUGGAACUCCAGGUGUAGUGGUGAAAUGCGUAGAUAUCUGGAAGAACACCAAAGGCGAAGGCAGUGUCCUGGGUGGUCGCUGACGCUGAGAGGCGAAAGCUAGGGGAGCGAAUGGG